RNAcentral lists this unclassified non-coding RNA (223 nucleotides) under Hevea brasiliensis (rubber tree). The record is from RNAcentral. Lineage: Eukaryota; Viridiplantae; Streptophyta; Magnoliopsida; Malpighiales; Euphorbiaceae.
GUUCAAAUGUGUUCCAAAUUCAAUGUUGUCUUUUGCUGCUUGUAAUCCCUACUUGUGCUCCAGCUUCUCUGGUUGCUUAAGCCAGGGAUAUUUGGGGUAGGUUCAAUGUUUUUUGCUCUAAUUAGCAGGCCGCGGUUCUGUUCAGGCCCAUAACCGUUUCCCUCCACUUUUGAGCCAGAACGGAAUCAGACCAGAUAGUUUUGGGCCCUUUUGAAUCUACCCC